UACGUAGGGGCUAGCGUUAUCCGGAAUUACUGGGCGUAAAGGGUGCGUAGGUGGUUUCUUAAGUCAGAGGUGAAAGGCUACGGCUCAACCGUAGUAAGCCUUUGAAACUGGGAAACUUGAGUGCAGGAGAGGAGAGUGGAAUUCCUAGUGUAGCGGUGAAAUGCGUAGAUAUUAGGAGGAACACCAGUAGCGAAGGCGGCUCUCUGGACUGUAACUGACGCUGAGGCACGAAAGCGUGGGGAACAAACAGGAUUAGAUACCCGUGUAGUCCCUGAGCGGG
This 280-nucleotide ribosomal RNA is filed under the name uncultured prokaryote. Its description in RNAcentral is "partial 16S ribosomal RNA". It matches the Rfam family "Bacterial small subunit ribosomal RNA", at positions 524 to 803 of the family's 1533-position model. The record is from RNAcentral.